RNAcentral lists this ribosomal RNA (492 nucleotides) under uncultured bacterium. RNAcentral describes it as "bacterial SSU rRNA". It matches the Rfam family "Bacterial small subunit ribosomal RNA", at positions 8 to 518 of the family's 1533-position model. The record is from RNAcentral.
AGAGUUGAUCAUGGCUCAGGACGAACGCUGGCGGCGUGCCUAACACAUGCAAGUCGAGCGAGGAGAUUCCUCGGGAUGAUCCUAGCGGCGGACGGGUGAGUAACACGUGGGCAACCUGCCUCAUAGAGAGGAAUAGCCUUCCGAAAGGGAGAUUAAUACCUCAUAACAUUGCAGUUUCGCAUGGAACAGCAAUUAAAGGAGCAAUCCGCUAUGAGAUGGGCCCGCGGCGCAUUAGCUAGUUGGUGAGGUAACGGCUCACCAAGGCGACGAUGCGUAGCCGACCUGAGAGGGUGAUCGGCCACAUUGGGACUGAGACACGGCCCAGACUCCUACGGGAGGCAGCAGUGGGGAAUAUUGCACAAUGGGGGAAACCCUGAUGCAGCCAACGCCGCGUGAGUGAUGACGGCCUUCGGGUUGUAAAGCUCUGUCUUCAGGGACGAUAAUGACGGUACCUGAGGAGGAAGCCACGGCUAACUACGUGCCAGCAGCAGC